CAGCCGCCGCGGGAAAACAGAGGGUGCGAGCGUUAAUCGGAUUUACUGGGCGUAAAGCGUGCGUAGGCGGCUUCUUAAGUCGGAUGUGAAAUCCCUGAGCUUAACUUAGGAAUUGCAUUCGAUACUGGGAAGCUAGAGUAUGGGAGAGGAUGGUAGAAUUCAAGGUGUAGCGGUGAAAUGCGUAGAGAUCUGGAGGAAUACCGAUGGCGAAGGCAGCCAUCUGGCCUAAUACUGACGCUGAGGUACGAAAGCAUGGGGAGCAAACAGGAUUAGAUACCCGUGUAGUCCCUGUCUCUUAUAC
RNAcentral lists this ribosomal RNA (301 nucleotides) under uncultured bacterium. Its description in RNAcentral is "partial 16S ribosomal RNA". It matches the Rfam family "Bacterial small subunit ribosomal RNA", at positions 509 to 807 of the family's 1533-position model. The record is from RNAcentral.